AUUGGGAAGCUAGAACAAAGGAAUUCCACACCCCUCACCUCCAGUUCCUCCUGUGAGUCACAACUGAGAGGGAUGACACAUUUGGUGACAAGAUUAACAGUCGUGUGUUAGCAGUUGAAAUCUGUAUUUUACUCUUAGGUCCUUGGAAUUCGCAUCCAUCCUUUUCCUGUUCCAAGAGCCUGCCAGUUCUUCUUCUGACUAACCAGGCUUGUUAACUGAAGCAUGUCAACCCAGGAUAUGGUUUUUGUGCUUAAAUGCUCACCCUGACAAAGGCUGUUGCUACCGUGGAAUCCUAUUACCCAGUGUAGUGGCUAGCCAGGAUCUUGCUAUGAGUCGGCUGGCCUGGAACAGAAGGAACUCGGACCUGAGUCUCCCAAGCUCUGAGAUCACCAGUGUACACCAUGCCUUUCCAGUCCUAAGCCCUUAGACGACUGGACAGCCCAGUGUCCUGAGACACUUCGGAUGGCCUCUGCAGGGAUGUGCAUUCUAACAUAGCAGCGUGAUUGGCUAGUAGCUCCGUUUUUACAAAUGCACUUGUGUUGACUUAUAGAUUGGGACAUUUCUAUACAAAAUUGCUUUCUAGUAAUUAGAUAAUUUGAGAUGUGUUUUAUAACCCCGAUUUUAAUUUUACUUAAAUUUAAAGUUCACUCCAGUUAUAAACAUAAUCUGUUUCUACUAUACCAAUCUGGUGGCUAUUAUGCAAUAUGGACAUAAUUAACAUCUCCUUGUAUUCAUGUCCCCUCCUCCUGUAAAAAAACCAACUGGUCAAAAUCCAUAGAAGGAAGUUCUUAGAGGUGGAUAACAGGAUAGAGUGCACCCCAUUCCCCUGUCUUGUUGCUUCCAGGUCACUAAAUCUCAGACCCCUAAACCAAUAGAAGGGCCUUUGUCCCUGGAUGGAGCUCUCAGGCCUUUACAGUCC
This 919-nucleotide small RNA is filed under the name Rattus norvegicus (Norway rat). Its description in RNAcentral is "uncharacterized LOC102551753". Lineage: Eukaryota; Metazoa; Chordata; Mammalia; Rodentia; Muridae. The record is from RNAcentral.